GGAACCAGAUCUUGAUCUGGCGCUCGGACAGGCAGAGUGCGUGGGCGAUCUCGAUGCGCCGUCGCCGGGUCAGGUUGCUUGUCUGGAGAUGGAGCCACUACAGGCGGGCCUGGGCGCCUGGAGUCGGGCAUGAAAGAAAAUAGCGCCUCAUCGCUCUUAUCUAAGCCCAGAGGUAGACUUCGCUUGAAAAGAUCGAGAAUGGAGGAGGGGAUCGGCACUCACUUGCAGACAUCAACAGUUUCCAGAAAAUUCGGUUCAAUUCCUUCACCACGGACCCACCAACCAAGGAGCUGGCAAAACCCACUAACCAACCAGGAGAACACAGACCCGGUUUGUCUUUUGACAACCGAGUGGAACUGACGGGGCCGGCGCCUGCCCUGCGGGUCCCCUCCCUUGGCUGAGAAGAAAACCAAAUAAACCUUGAACAGCCUUGGCUUCG
This 439-nucleotide long non-coding RNA is filed under the name Homo sapiens (human). RNAcentral describes it as "HSALNT0241968". Lineage: Eukaryota; Metazoa; Chordata; Mammalia; Primates; Hominidae. The record is from RNAcentral.